RNAcentral lists this ribosomal RNA (451 nucleotides) under uncultured bacterium. Its description in RNAcentral is "bacterial SSU rRNA". It matches the Rfam family "Bacterial small subunit ribosomal RNA", at positions 335 to 799 of the family's 1533-position model. The record is from RNAcentral.
ACUCCUACGGGAGGCAGCAGUGGGGAAUCUUGGACAAUGGGCGCAAGCCUGAUCCAGCCAUGCCGCGUGAGUGAUGAAGGCCCUAGGGUCGUAAAGCUCUUUCGCCAGGGAUGAUAAUGACAGUACCUGGUAAAGAAACCCCGGCUAACUCCGUGCCAGCAGCCGCGGUAAUACGGAGGGGGUUAGGCGUUGUUCGGAAUUACUGGGGCGUAAAGCGCGCGUAGGCGGACUGGAAAGUUGGGGGUGAAAUCCCGGGGGCUCAACCCCGGAACUGCCUCCAAAACUCCCAGUCUUGAGUUCGAGAGAGGUGAGUGGAAUUCCGAGUGUAGAGGUGAAAUUCGUAGAUAUUCGGAGGAACACCAGUGGCGAAGGCGGCUCACUGGCUCGAUACUGACGCUGAGGUGCGAAAGUGUGGGGAGCAAACAGGAUUAGAUACCCUGGUAGGAUAGCG